UUAAGCGACUAAGCGUACACGGUGGAUGCCCUGGCAGUCAGAGGCGAUGAAGGACGUGCUAAUCUGCGAAAAGCGUCGGUAAGGUGAUAUGAACCGUUAUAACCGGCGAUGUCCGAAUGGGGAAACCCAGUGCAAUUCGUUGCACUAUCGUUAACUGAAUACAUAGGUUAACGAGGCGAACCGGGGGAACUGAAACAUCUAAGUACCCCGAGGAAAAGAAAUCAACCGAGAUUCCCCCAGUAGCGGCGAGCGAACGGGGAGCAGCCCAGAGUCUGAAUCAGCUUGUGUGUUAGUGGAACGGUCUGGAAAGUCCGACGGUACAGGGUGAUAGUCCCGUACACCAAAAUGCACAGGUUGUGAACUCGAAGAGUAGGGCGGGACACGUGGUAUCCUGUCUGAAUAUGGGGGGACCAUCCUCCAAGGCUAAAUACUCCUGACUGACCGAUAGUGAACCAGUACCGUGAGGGAAAGGCGAAAAGAACCCCGGCGAGGGGAGUGAAAAAGAACCUGAAACCGUGUACGUACAAGCAGUGGGAGCACCUUCGGGUGUGACUGCGUACCUUUUGUAUAAUGGGUCAGCGACUUAUAUUCUGUAGCAAGGUUAACCGUAUAGGGGAGCCGCAGGGAAACCGAGUCUUAACUGGGCGUUAAGUUGCAGGGUAUAGACCCGAAACCCGGUGAUCUAGCCAUGGGCAGGUUGAAGGUUGGGUAACACUAACUGGAGGACCGAACCGACUAAUGUUGAAAAAUUAGCGGAUGACUUGUGGCUGGGGGUGAAAGGCCAAUCAAACCGGGAGAUAGCUGGUUCUCCCCGAAAGCUAUUUAGGUAGCGCCUCGUGAACUCAUCUUCGGGGGUAGAGCACUGUUUCGGCUAGGGGGUCAUCCCGACUUACCAACCCGAUGCAAACUACGAAUACCGAAGAAUGUUAUCACGGGAGACACACGGCGGGUGCUAACGUCCGUCGUGAAGAGGGAAACAACCCAGACCGCCAGCUAAGGUCCCAAAGUCAUGGUUAAGUGGGAAACGAUGUGGGAAGGCACAGACAGCCAGGAUGUUGGCUUAGAAGCAGCCAUCAUUUAAAGAAAGCGUAAUAGCUCACUGGUCGAGUCGGCCUGCGCGGAAGAUGUAACGGGGCUAAACCAUGCACCGAAGCUGCGGCAGCGACACUAUGUGUUGUUGGGUAGGGGAGCGUUCUGUAAGCCUGCGAAGGUGUGCUGUGAGGCAUGCUGGAGGUAUCAGAAGUGCGAAUGCUGACAUAAGUAACGAUAAAGCGGGUGAAAAGCCCGCUCGCCGGAAGACCAAGGGUUCCUGUCCAACGUUAAUCGGGGCAGGGUGAGUCGACCCCUAAGGCGAGGCCGAAAGGCGUAGUCGAUGGGAAACAGGUUAAUAUUCCUGUACUUGGUGUUACUGCGAAGGGGGGACGGAGAAGGCUAUGUUAGCCGGGCGACGGUUGUCCCGGUUUAAGCAUGUAGGCUGGUUAUCCAGGCAAAUCCGGAUAAUCAAGGCUGAGGUGUGAUGACGAGGCACUACGGUGCUGAAGUAACAAAUGCCCUGCUUCCAGGAAAAGCCUCUAAGCAUCAGGUAACAUCAAAUCGUACCCCAAACCGACACAGGUGGUCAGGUAGAGAAUACCAAGGCGCUUGAGAGAACUCGGGUGAAGGAACUAGGCAAAAUGGUGCCGUAACUUCGGGAGAAGGCACGCUGGUGUGUAGGUGAAGUCCCUGCGGAUGGAGCUGAGACCAGUCGAAGAUACCAGCUGGCUGCAACUGUUUAUUAAAAACACAGCACUGUGCAAACACGAAAGUGGACGUAUACGGUGUGACGCCUGCCCGGUGCCGGAAGGUUAAUUGAUGGGGUUAUCCGUAAGGAGAAGCUCUUGAUCGAAGCCCCGGUAAACGGCGGCCGUAACUAUAACGGUCCUAAGGUAGCGAAAUUCCUUGUCGGGUAAGUUCCGACCUGCACGAAUGGCGUAAUGAUGGCCAGGCUGUCUCCACCCGAGACUCAGUGAAAUUGAACUCGCUGUGAAGAUGCAGUGUACCCGCGGCAAGACGGAAAGACCCCGUGAACCUUUACUAUAGCUUGACACUGAACAUUGAGCCUUGAUGUGUAGGAUAGGUGGGAGGCUUUGAAGCGUGGACGCCAGUCUGCGUGGAGCCAACCUUGAAAUACCACCCUUUAAUGUUUGAUGUUCUAACGUUGGCCCCU
RNAcentral lists this ribosomal RNA (2206 nucleotides) under Klebsiella pneumoniae. RNAcentral's name for it is "bacterial LSU rRNA". It matches the Rfam family "Bacterial large subunit ribosomal RNA", at positions 1 to 2236 of the family's 2925-position model. The record is from RNAcentral. Lineage: Bacteria; Pseudomonadati; Pseudomonadota; Gammaproteobacteria; Enterobacterales; Enterobacteriaceae.